UUUAAAUAUGAUUGGCUCCUGUUAUUCACAGGAGCCAGUGCAAACGCAACAGUUCUGUUAUCCAACCCGAUAAUUUCUCGUUGUCUUAAACAGAUUUGUUGCGUGUGCUUCAAAUUAAGUUAUGGAACUUGAUCGCACAUGAAUACUUUAUUAGUAAACCAGUUACAAAAGAAACUGGGCUAUACUUUUACGC
Molecule: small RNA, 193 nt
Filed under: Proteus vulgaris
Lineage: Bacteria; Pseudomonadati; Pseudomonadota; Gammaproteobacteria; Enterobacterales; Morganellaceae
Description: rncO
Rfam family: rncO
About the family: This family represents a bacterial regulatory element (rncO) found in the rnc leader sequence. The rnc operon is negatively auto-regulated by transcript stability. rnc, the first gene in the operon codes for RNase III which cleaves the long rncO stem II leading to transcript degradation and a reduction in translation.
Source: RNAcentral